This is a long non-coding RNA of Aricia agestis (brown argus), 470 nucleotides long. RefSeq lists it as uncharacterized. NCBI's taxonomy places the organism in Eukaryota, Metazoa, Arthropoda, Insecta, Lepidoptera, Lycaenidae. The transcript has 3 exons. The record is from RefSeq and is a predicted model, not a curated record.
ACAAAGUUUGACGUUUCGUAAACAAACAGCUGGGAUUUACAAAUUUUGUUUGAUUUAACUAAUUAUUGUAACGUUAGAAGUAGUGGUUUGUGUUUUUCUUAUUUUGUAUGUGCAGUAAAUUAAAAUAAUGUUUGGAUGUAGUGUUAUGGGCUGUAAAAGCAAUAUAAUAAGGAAAAUUGAGGGAAUAUCUUUUCACACAUUUCCUUAUGACCCUAAAAUCCGUAAAUUAUGGAUAACUGCAACAAAUAGACUGAAUUGGGUCCCACCGCGUGGUUCAAUAAUAUACAGUCAACAUUUUAAUAAAGAAAAUGUAUUAAAUGUUGGAAAGAAAACAUUUCUUUUUCUGUGCCUGUCAAGCUCCUAGAUUCUAAGAGCAUCUCACACCCAUCGUGUGAGACCUCCCGCUUUGUACGGUGAGGGAAAAUGGGAAUAUUUCCUACUCCUGCUAUGACCUGUCUUCUUCUGAUUAA